GUCCACGCCGUAAACGAUGAAUACUAGGUGUGGGGGUUAUCAUGACCUCCGUGCCGCAGUUAACACAAUAAGUAUUCCGCCUGGGGAGUACGGUCGCAAGAUUAAAACUCAAAGGAAUUGACGGGGGCCCGCACAAGCAGCGGAGCAUGUGGUUUAAUUCGAAGCAACGCGAAGAACCUUACCUAGACUUGACAUCUCCUGAAUUACCGGUAAUGCGGGAAGCCCUUCGGGGCAGGAAGACAGGUGGUGCAUGGUUGUCGU
Molecule: ribosomal RNA, 261 nt
Filed under: uncultured bacterium
Lineage: Bacteria
Description: partial 16S ribosomal RNA
Rfam family: Bacterial small subunit ribosomal RNA
Source: RNAcentral